RNAcentral lists this ribosomal RNA (484 nucleotides) under uncultured bacterium. RNAcentral's name for it is "partial 16S ribosomal RNA". It matches the Rfam family "Bacterial small subunit ribosomal RNA", at positions 30 to 507 of the family's 1533-position model. The record is from RNAcentral.
AUUGAACGCUGGCGGCAGGCCUAACACAUGCCAGUCGAGCGGAUGAAGGGAGCUUGCUCCUGGAUUCAGCGGCGGACGGGUGAGUAAUGCCUAGGAAUCUGCCUGGUAGUGGGGGAUAACGUCCGGACACGGGCGCUAAUACCGCAUACGUCCUGAGGGAGAAAGUGGGGGAUCUUCGGACCUCACGCUCUCAGAUGAGCCUAGGUCGGAUUAGCUAGUUGGUGGGGUAAAGGCCUACCAAGGCGACGAUCCGUAACUGGUCUGAGAGGAUGAUCAGUCACACUGGAACUGAGACACGGUCCAGACUCCUACGGGAGGCAGCAGUGGGGAAUAUUGGACAAUGGGCGAAAGCCUGAUCCAGCCAUGCCGCGUGUGUGAAGAAGGUCUUCGGAUUGUAAAGCACUUUAAGUUGGGAGGAAGGGCAGUAAGUUAAUACCUUGCUGUUUUGACGUUACCAACAGAAUAAGCACCGGCUAACUUCGUG